UGCCUUUUAUUCUGCUUCUG
Molecule: small RNA, 20 nt
Filed under: Arabidopsis thaliana (thale cress)
Lineage: Eukaryota; Viridiplantae; Streptophyta; Magnoliopsida; Brassicales; Brassicaceae
Description: ATSL044390
Source: RNAcentral